AAUAAUAAUAUUUUUUCAGAGAACCUACAUAAGAAAGACUACCAUUAGAGUAUGAAAAACAAAAAAAAAUACACAAAAACUCUCUUGUAACAUUUUUGGAAAUUUAAUCAUAAAAAAAUGGAGAGAGCCCAUAGAGAGGCUCUCUCCAUUGGAGAUGCUCUAAGUAAUCUGAACGAUUUGUAUGAUUAAAGAUAAGC
This 197-nucleotide small RNA is filed under the name Arabidopsis thaliana (thale cress). Its description in RNAcentral is "ATSL254430". The record is from RNAcentral. Lineage: Eukaryota; Viridiplantae; Streptophyta; Magnoliopsida; Brassicales; Brassicaceae.